RNAcentral lists this unclassified non-coding RNA (222 nucleotides) under Pasteurellaceae bacterium I29. Its description in RNAcentral is "partial RNaseP". The record is from RNAcentral. Lineage: Bacteria; Pseudomonadati; Pseudomonadota; Gammaproteobacteria; Pasteurellales; Pasteurellaceae.
UUCCUCUAGGCUUGCAUUUACACACAAGCUCAAGCAACCUACCCGAACUCUCGGCGGGCCACCGAUUGAGUUCCUAUUUGGUCUUGCUACGAGUGGAGUUUACCUAGCUGCCAAAUGUUACCACUGGCACGGUGCGCUCUUACCGCACCCUUUCACCCUUACCAGCCAAAGACUCGGCGGUCUGCUCUCUGUUGCACUAGUCGUAGGCUGCGCGCCCCCCCG